Molecule: long non-coding RNA, 829 nt
Filed under: Equus caballus (horse)
Lineage: Eukaryota; Metazoa; Chordata; Mammalia; Perissodactyla; Equidae
Description: lncRNA (ENSECAG00000055438.1)
Source: RNAcentral
AUCAAGUAGAGACAGCAGAUCACUGUUUAAAAGGGAUUCUGGGCCUCUGAGAUUCCAGGGCUCUAGAGUGGAACACUGGGGAGGUUCUGAGAGCCCGAAGUGACCAUUGCAAUUCUAAAGUAUCCGUAGUAAAACGUUUGCCAUUUUGGAGGAUAAAGAAGUUCAAGUGAAGAUAAGCAGAAUCUUCUAAAGGGAACUUGGACAGGCAAGAGGAAAUGAGCAGUGGGGUAUGACAGGAAAAGGGUCUCACUGUGUUGAGCUGAUUCCCAGAGGAAGCUGAUCAAGAGGACACAUUCUACGUUUUUCAAGCUUGCUCAGACUUGGGAGAACUCAGGCUUCAGGGGACUGGAGGAAGGAGAGAAACCUGGCUAACAGUCAAGACAAAACAAGAGCUCAGUGAAGACAUGUGAGCAAGGACAGCAUUCUCUAGAGAGAGAAAGAGAGAGACAUGGUGAGAAGAGAGAAGACUAGAAAAGGAGGAAGACAAGAAAACCUCCCUUUCCAGCAACGUGGCUUUUUGCAGAUGAAGAAGCUCACGUAGACAAGGAAAAGCUGUUUACACAGGAGUGUACUAAGUAACCCAAUGGCAUUAUAAAAAGAGCGUCUACUCUCAACCUGUCCUCUGAGUUUCACUGGACUUGAGAGGAAAAAAAAUAGAGCUUGAGUCUUUAAAGGCAGCAAAGAUUCCAGACACAAGAAUCUCAGAGAAAAAGACCACUAAGAAGUCAACUUGACAACCUGCAGUAAACUUCUCCUUGACGCAAAUGGCAAGUAAUAUGCUGCACAUAAAUGGCCCAGCCACUGUGAAGGUAAGCAGAACGCCUUUGCU